This 333-nucleotide ribosomal RNA is filed under the name Triticum aestivum (bread wheat). Its description in RNAcentral is "partial small subunit ribosomal RNA". The record is from RNAcentral. Lineage: Eukaryota; Viridiplantae; Streptophyta; Magnoliopsida; Poales; Poaceae.
AUGGACUUGUCGCGGGCUACGAUGUCGCGAGCUCCGGUUCUGCCACGCCGUCUCCUUCGGGAAGCAAAACGCAGGACCUGUACACAACGAGCAGAGCGCCAUGGACCUCUGCAUCGGAGAGACAUGCGCACAGUGGACUUGUCUCGGGCUACAUCGCAGCGAGCUCCGGUUCCACCACGUCGUCUCCUCCAGAAACCAAGGCACCAGACGUGUCCACCGCGAUUGGGACGCCAUAGACCUAUGCACCAGAGAUACCUAUUCGCCAUGGACUUGUCUCAUCGUGACCUAUACAUUGUGAUAUGUUCGCCAAGGACAUGUAGGCCAACAUGGUAG